RNAcentral lists this ribosomal RNA (370 nucleotides) under uncultured organism. RNAcentral describes it as "partial 16S ribosomal RNA". It matches the Rfam family "Bacterial small subunit ribosomal RNA", at positions 527 to 896 of the family's 1533-position model. The record is from RNAcentral.
AGAGGGUGCAAGCGUUAAUCGGAAUUACUGGGCGUAAAGGGUGCGCAGGUGGUUACAUAAGUCAGGUGUGAAAUCCCAGAGCUUAACUUUGGAAUUGCGCUUGAAACUGUGUUGCUAGAGUUUUGUAGAGGGCAGUGGAAUUUCCGGUGUAGCGGUGAAAUGCGUAGAUACCGGAAGGAACACCAGUGGCGAAGGCGACUGCCUGGACAAAAACUGACACUGAGGCACGAAAGCGUGGGUAGCAAACAGGGAUUAGAUACCCUGGUAGUCCACGCCGUAAACGAUGAGAACUAGCUGUUGGGCACUUAAGUGCUUAGUAGCGUAGCUAACGCGAUAAGUUCUCCGCCUGGGGAGUACGGCCGCAAGGCUA